UAUGUGAUCGUCUCUCGCAUAUCAAUAAGCGGAGGAAAAGAAACUAACAAGGAUUCCCCUAGUAACGGCGAGUGAAGCGGGAAGAGCUCAAAUUUGAAAUCUUAAAGGGUUUCCCUUUACGAAUUGUAGUUUAAAGAAGUGUUUUCUGUUGAGGUUUUGGUAAAAGUUCUUUGGAAUAGGACAUCAUAGAGGGUGAGAAUCCCGUAUUUGACCUUUACUUUCAACUUUGUGAUACACUUUCAAAGAGUCGGAUUGUUUGGGAAUGCAGUCCAAAAUGGGUGGUAAAUUUCAUCUAAAGCUAAAUAUUGGCGAGAGACCGAUAGCGAACAAGUACCGUGAGGGAAAGAUGAAAAGAACUUUGAAAAGAGAGUUAAACAGGUACGUGAAAUCGUCAAAAGGGAAGCGUUUGACACCAGUGUUGUUUUUCUGAAAAUCAAUUAAAGAACUGUUUAUGCUAAGCUGUUUAGACUUUAUCAGCUAACUGUUUAGUUUUGAGCUUUUCUUUAAUGCACUUUUCAGUUAACAAGUCAACAUCAAUUUCUUUUGCUGUAAAAAAGCUUGAGGAAGGUGGCUUGAGAUUCGUCUUAAGUGUUUAUAGCCUCUUGCCUAUGCAGUCGGAGAGAUUAAGGUCUGCAGCGUAGAUCCUUCGGGGCUAAAUGCAUUUGUGCUAAGUUAUAACAUUUUAUAGACAACUUGUUGACUAUGAUUUGUCUUGUAGCUUACUCGCUUAUGUUAUUUUACCUACGCUUAGGAUGUUGAGUAGCGACAUACGCAC
Molecule: ribosomal RNA, 775 nt
Filed under: uncultured Neocallimastigales
Lineage: Eukaryota; Fungi; Neocallimastigomycota; Neocallimastigomycetes; Neocallimastigales
Description: partial large subunit ribosomal RNA
Rfam family: Eukaryotic large subunit ribosomal RNA
Source: RNAcentral